AAGGGCACUCUAAUGAGACUGCCGGUGACAAACCGGAGGAAGUGGGGAUGACGUCAAGGUCCUCAUGGCCCUUAUGGGUAGGGCUUCACACGUCAUACAAUGGUCGGUACAGAGGGUUGCCAAGCCGCGAGGUGGAGCCAAUCCCAGAAAGCCGAUCGUAGUCCGGAUUGUUCUCUGCAACUCGAGAGCAUGAAGUCGGAAUCGCUAGUAAUCGCGGAUCAGCAUGUCGCGGUGAAUACGUUCCCGGGUCUU
This 252-nucleotide ribosomal RNA is filed under the name uncultured Thiobacillus sp. Its description in RNAcentral is "partial 16S ribosomal RNA". It matches the Rfam family "Bacterial small subunit ribosomal RNA", at positions 1131 to 1382 of the family's 1533-position model. Lineage: Bacteria; Pseudomonadati; Pseudomonadota; Betaproteobacteria; Nitrosomonadales; Thiobacillaceae. The record is from RNAcentral.